AAUGCUUAUGAUGAAAUUAUUCACACUUUUAUGAAAAUUACAGUGAUUGUUUAUUACAUGCACUACCAACUGAAGCAUU
Molecule: small nucleolar RNA, 79 nt
Organism: Rhopalosiphum maidis (corn leaf aphid)
Lineage: Eukaryota; Metazoa; Arthropoda; Insecta; Hemiptera; Aphididae
Source: RefSeq, a predicted model, not a curated record